This 910-nucleotide unclassified non-coding RNA is filed under the name Drosophila yakuba. RNAcentral describes it as "GE28155". Lineage: Eukaryota; Metazoa; Arthropoda; Insecta; Diptera; Drosophilidae. The record is from RNAcentral.
UAUUUGUCAAACAUGGAACUGUAUUUUGAAAAUUUAUAGCAACGUAUUUUCCUAGUUUUGAUGCCAUUUUUAAGAAAGCUGGUCAGAAAAGAAUUUUGCUUUUGCAUCUCGCUGACUUCUGGAUGCAUCAUAAUUUCAUUCUACACCUUGUUUUUCGGAUUCCUUAACGCAGGAACCACUGUUGACGAGGUUAUAUACAAAAACACAUCCAAAACUGAUGUAUAUGCGAAAUGGUUUAACGUAUUUCAUAUAGCACUGAUGAUCGCGGCUGCAGUUAUCCUGCUGAUCUCUGUUAUGACGAAAUACUUAAAAAUAGUUUUCGUUUGGAUGGCCAUGUUCAUCAUUCAUAUGAUAUCUUACUACAUCAUCUUCAAUGCUUUGAUAAAUGUUCGCAAUCCGUUCUUUAAAAAGGAAGUGUCUGCAUUUUUUUAUGUCUUGGUGAAUUUAGUGACGUUGGGAAUCGAUUUCUUCUGUUUGCUCAAAGUUUACUCAUAUUAUUAUGUAAAGUCGCAUCCAGAUCAGUUUACACCAGCAUGUGUUGAUAAAUAAGAGAAUGUCUCUAAAAAUUAAAUGAAGAACAGCAAACUGGAUUUUAAGAUGAUAAAACACAAUAACAGUUCGUGGUCUUCACCAUAUGUUCUUCAAGUGAGAGGAAGUCAAAGUGUGGAUAAUGCUUUUACUGUGCUAAUAUGGCAGACUCAAUUUUCUUUAUAAUUUCAUUAGCAUCUUGAUGAGAACUGAAAACGAUUCCACGCGUGCCUGACAAACACGACACACACAUCAAGCUGGAAAUUCUAGGCUAAUGCUAAUGAGGCCAUAAUACAAAUUCCUGAAAUUGUAAUUAUGCAAAAAAGUUAAUACUUCCCACGCCACAAUCAAGCAGAUAUGGCGAAAAAUGAGAAGGAACCUA